CUUUGCGGCUGAUAUAAUCCUUACAUUCUUUGUGGCUUACUUGGAUGCAUCAACUUACCUCCUAGUUGAUGAUCAUAAGAAGAUUGCUAUCAGGUGCUUAAGACAAUUCCACAUACAACUCAUUGCUUAGCAAAAUGAAGUGCCCAGAAAAAGUAUGUAAUAUAUGUCUCCUAUUCUUUUUUGAAGAUUUGUAUUUGAUUUCAAUAGGUACGUCAAAAAGUUGCACUUUGCCAUGGAUCUAGCAUCAACUAUACCAAUUCAGCAGAUAUACCAAGUUCUGUCAGACAAAUCACACAAAACCGAGGUGUUCGGUUUCCUAAAUAUGCUUCGGCUCUGGCGAUUAAGGCGUGUCAGUGAACUCUUCACAAGGUACAUUACAUUCACAAUAGUGAAAUCAGAACAAAAGUAAUAACUGAAAAAUCAUAAUGCACCCAAAUAUAUCCCUCCCAUGUCGGGGUGUAAAUUAGAACAUAAGAAUAUAAGCCUGAAUUAGUUGAGUAUAGACUUGUAUUACAAAAUUAAUAAUAGUCUAAAUCUUAAAAGUAUCAACAACAAAAGGUAAGUAAUUUGAAUAUGUAAAAAUUCAAAGUUGCCAUCCAUGUUCAAUGUGUCAUAUUGUCAUACCUAAAACAAAGAUCAUGAUUCAUAUAGCUCAUGCUCAAAUAAAUUAUUUAUUUGGAAGGAAAAAAAGCAUUGAUCUAUUUCUAUUUCCAAUUUUGUCAGAAUCUGGAACUAUAUAAUUUUUUUUAGUCAACCAUGAUGUUGAAAACUUUAAAUCUAUAAAAGGAAUCGGAUGUUCAAAAUUCUACCAUGACAACUGAAACUGUCAACUCCUUUUCAGGCUAGAGAAAGACAUACGGAUUAGCUACUCAGCAACAAGAUUUUGUAAACUGAUAUGCGUAAGUAAAUCACUAAAUCUUCCCUUAAGAAAUGAUAACGAAAUUGGCUAAUGAAAGAUAAUUUCCUUGUUUCCAUUGCGUUGGUUUAUAGGUUACGCUAUUUGCAAUCCACUUCGCAGGCUGCAUGUAUUUUUGGUUAGCAGUCCAUCACAAAACACCCGAAAACACAUGGAUCGGGAUGCAAGUACAGGAUUUUAAACAUGAGAGCAAUUGGCACAGUUAUACCUAUUCCAUGUACUGGUCUAUUGUAACUCUUACGACUGUUGGAUAUGGAGAUUUACAUGCAGUAAAUACAACGGAGAAGGUUUUCAAUAUUUUAUAUAUGCUGUUUAACAUCGGCCUCACUGCAUAUAUAAUCGGAAACAUGACAAAUCUGGUGGUUCAUAGCACUGUCCGAACCUUUGCCAUGGUAAUUUCCCCCCUUCUUAAUGAGGAUUCCCUUGAAGGUUUAAUCUAUAAGAGAAGAUAAAUAAGCUUUAAAGCCUUAUGGGGAAAAGGGGGAGAAAUAAGCAAUGAAGUAAGCCCAUAAGAAGGGGAGACAAAAUGAGAUGUGCAUGCAUCUAGUUAUGUUUAGUAUUUACCCCCACCCUUUUUUUUGCAUUUCAUUGCUACAAAGAUUAUCAGAUGGGAUUUAAUUUUAAGGAAACUCUAAACAGCUUGCUUUCUUAACCGUGGCAAGCUUGGACAGGAAGUUAUUAGAAAAACGCCUAGAUAUGGAGGGAUAUACCCCUGUCAUAACAUGUUUAGAGCUAAACUUACCUGUGUGGAUAUACCAAAAACUAAUAUAUUUCCCCUCCUGGCUUCACAGAGGGAUGCCUUCAACAAAAUACUACAAUACGCAAGCAAGAAUAGACUCCCGGAAGGUUUGAAAGAGCAAAUGUUGGCACAUUUGCAAUUGAAGUUCAAGACAGCAGAGUUACAGCAAGAAGAAGUGCUACAGGACCUGCCUAAAGCAAUUAGAUCCAGUAUUGCUCAGCAUCUUUUCCACGACGUAGUUGAAAAAGCAUAUUUAUUUAAAGGAGUCUCUGAUGAUUUUAUCACCCAGCUGGUAAAAGCUUUUUCAUUUUCUUCCUCUUCUAGGUAGUAAUAGAAUAGAGUCUAAGCAUCUCAACAGCCUCUAAUAGGUGAUGGUAUCAUGACACUUAAUCUCACAGGUGUCCGAAAUGAAAGCAGAAUACUACCCACCUAAGGUUGACAUUAUCUUGCAAAAUGAGAUGCCAACAGAUUUCUACAUUUUGGUAUCUGGAUCAGUGGUAAAACAUCUAUAACUUACUCAAAUACUAUCCCUUAUCCCAUGUUAACUGCAGAACUGAACUAUUCUAACUGCAGGAUGUGUUGAUAUACAAGAAUGGAACCGAACAGGUAAGAUGGGAUCCCCCGGAUAACUUUUUGAAGGGUAAAAAUCACAUUCAAAGGAAAGUAAAAUGGUAACAGAUCAAACUCCUGGACAUAAGUGAGUUGGAAAGAGUAACAUUUAAACCAUAACAAAGUAUCAUGUGGAAGAAAGCAUUUUAAAAAGGAAAUAAUGAUAACAAAAAAACAAACCUCUCUUGGACAAAAACAGGGGGGGGGAACUUUAUUUGAUUUUGGACCUUGUGAGUUGUAGGCAAAGAAAGUAUCACAUAACUUGCACGACACCACACUGCAUCAAGUUGAGAUAGAAGUCACUUCGGAAGAUGAUGUUUACUUUACGGAAUGAAGAGUGAUUUUUUGAUGUCUUGAAGCAUUUUCUUGCUGAAGCAAACACAUCAAACCACGUUAAACAUCAAACAUAUAAAUCAGGCAACGAC
Molecule: long non-coding RNA, 2689 nt
Filed under: Lupinus angustifolius (narrow-leaved blue lupine)
Lineage: Eukaryota; Viridiplantae; Streptophyta; Magnoliopsida; Fabales; Fabaceae
Description: long non-coding RNA (LANG_LNC002365)
Source: RNAcentral